GUAUCUUGAAGCCUACUUCAGAGUUUAAUUAUUUCUUAUUCACAUGAACCUCCCCCUUAUGGAGAAGAUGGCAAACAGCUGUCGAACAUGGUUACACUCAAUUGAUUUUCUUAGGGAUGUAAUACCUCCAAACCAGUACUGCCAUAUUCCUUAUUGCCAAGUCUUCCAGCAGCAAAUAAAAAUCAUGCAUCUGUUCUUCCUUUCCAUUUUAUCUUUGCUAUUGAAACACACUGGCAGCAGAGAAGUUUUAUUUGGUCAUAAUAAUUUCACAGAAUAUCAAGUGGGCAACAUGAACCUGAUCCUCUCUGUCCCACAUGGUGGGUCAAUGGAACCUGAAGACAUCCCUGAUCGAGAGGCUGGCUGUUGGGAUGCAGAGACAUCUUCUUGUAUUUUCUCUCAUGACUGUCCUCCUGGAAGCAUUCAAGACUAUAAGAACUGCAAAGUGUCUACCAACCAAGACAGGUAUACCAUAGAAGUGGCUCAGGUUCUUGCUGAAGAAAUCAACAAGAUUACUGAUGGCUUCUUCCCACAUAUCGUUAUAAAUCACCUACAGAGGUUCAAGAUGGAUGCUAACAGGGAAAAGGAAGAAGCUGCCUUUGGAAUUCCCCAAGCAGAACAGGCCUGGGAGGAUUAUAUGGGAUUUUUGACCACUGCAAAAUCACUGAUGACAAGGGGCCUGAUUCUAGAUAUCCAUGGACAAGCACAUCCUGAACAGUGGAUAGAACUAGGCUACACAGUUUCAAAAACUUCCCUUAACUCUGGUGUCUUUUCUGCGUCAUGUUCCUCCAUUAGAUAUCUGGCCAAUCAGCUAGUUAGCGUGUCUUUUGAGACUCUGCUUGCAGGGAACAGAAGUUUGGGUAAAUAUAUUGAAGAACAAAAUAACAGUUAUGUUUGUGUGCCUUCUCCAUCCAAUCCUAGCCCCAGUAAUGGGAACUAUUAUAGUGGUGGAUACAUAACAAAGACUUUUGGCUCCCGUGAUUCUGGUGCCGUUGAUGCCAUUCAGAUGGAGCUACCCCAGUGGGUUAGGGCACCUGAAGAGCGUCUCAGAUUCUGUAAAGCAUUAGCAAGAGCUGUAAUGAAAUUCUGGCAAACUAAUUACUGUAGCCAGUCCAACCAUGAAUUUCUGCCAUGCUGA
Molecule: long non-coding RNA, 1135 nt
Filed under: Anas platyrhynchos platyrhynchos (common mallard)
Lineage: Eukaryota; Metazoa; Chordata; Aves; Anseriformes; Anatidae
Description: lncRNA (ENSAPLG00000026994.1)
Source: RNAcentral